RNAcentral lists this ribosomal RNA (436 nucleotides) under uncultured soil bacterium. RNAcentral describes it as "bacterial SSU rRNA". It matches the Rfam family "Bacterial small subunit ribosomal RNA", at positions 26 to 472 of the family's 1533-position model. The record is from RNAcentral.
AGAUUGAACGCUGGCGGAAUGCUUUACACAUGCAAGUCGAGCGGCAGCGCGGGGCAACCUGGCGGCGAGCGGCGAACGGGUGAGUAAUGCAUCGGAACAUGUCCAUUCGUGGGGGAUAGCCCGGCGAAAGCCGGAUUAAUACCGCAUACGCCCUUAGGGGGAAAGCCGGGGACCGCAAGGCCUGGCGCGAAUGGGUUGGCCGAUGCCGAUUAGCUAGUGGCGGGUAAUGGCCCACCAGGCGAUGAUCGGUAGCUGGUCUGAGAGGAUGAUCAGCCACACUGGGACUGAGACACGGCCCAGACUCCUACGGGAGGCAGCGAGUGGGAAUUUGGACUAAGUGGGGCAACCGUGACUCCAGGCCUAGUUCCGCGUGAGUGAAGAACGGCCGUUCGGGUUAGUAAAGUCUUCGUUUUGUACCGGUAACGUAACGGUUGGU